This 87-nucleotide transfer RNA is filed under the name Cereibacter changlensis JA139. It matches the Rfam family "tRNA". From Rfam's summary of the family: Transfer RNA (tRNA) molecules are approximately 80 nucleotides in length. Their secondary structure includes four short double-helical elements and three loops (D, anti-codon, and T loops). RNAcentral also lists the same sequence under 3 other names. The record is from Rfam by way of RNAcentral. Lineage: Bacteria; Pseudomonadati; Pseudomonadota; Alphaproteobacteria; Rhodobacterales; Paracoccaceae.
GGAGAUGUGGCCGAGUGGUCGAAGGCACACCCCUGCUAAGGGUGCAGGCCCGGAAGGGUCUCGAGGGUUCGAAUCCCUUCGUCUCCG